Molecule: ribosomal RNA, 409 nt
Filed under: uncultured bacterium
Lineage: Bacteria
Description: bacterial SSU rRNA
Rfam family: Bacterial small subunit ribosomal RNA
Source: RNAcentral
GCUAAACGCGAAGAACCUUACCAAGGCUUGACAUACACGAGAACACUCUGGAAACAGGGGACUCUUUGGACACUCGUGAACAGGUGGUGCAUGGUUGUCGUCAGCUCGUGUCGUGAGAUGUUGGGUUAAGUCCCGCAACGAGCGCAACCCUCGUUCUAUGUUGCCAGCACGUUAUGGUGGGAACUCAUGGGAUACUGCCGGGGUCAACUCGGAGGAAGGUGGGGAUGACGUCAAAUCAUCAUGCCCCUUAUGUCUUGGGCUUCACGCAUGCUACAAUGGCCGGUACAAAGGGCUGCAAUACCGUGAGGUGGAGCGAAUCCCAAAAAGCCGGUCCCAGUUCGGAUUGAGGUCUGCAACUCGACUUCAUGAAGUCGGAGUCGCUAGUAAUCGCAGAUCAGCAACGCUGCGG